Molecule: unclassified non-coding RNA, 378 nt
Filed under: Hevea brasiliensis (rubber tree)
Lineage: Eukaryota; Viridiplantae; Streptophyta; Magnoliopsida; Malpighiales; Euphorbiaceae
Source: RNAcentral
UGGCAAACACUCAUGAUAUAAAUAACCAAGUCAAUGAUAAAUUGCAUCUCUUUAUACCUGACCUUGCACUUUUAUACAUCCCAAAGGGACUAAUUAGUCUAACUCAAAAAUACAUGUAAAUUCUACAGAGAAUUUAUGAAGUAUAAAACCCAAAAAAAAAGAUAAAUAAGGAACAGUCAAAUAAUAUAACAAUGACUCAUUAACUCCUAAACAGCUUACCAACAACUGAACUUUGUCAUGCUAUGUGUGUGUGUAUAUAUAUAGAAAUAAAAGAAGAGGAAAUGAAUGCAACUAGUUUUAAUAUGAUUUCCAAUACAUUGUCAGUUGCAUACAACCUAUUGAAUAAGUGAAUAAAGAAGGCCCUCACCAAUUUUCGAA